CAUCGAUACUGGCAAACUUACCGAAAGGUAAGGACGCAAAGUUAAAGGGUCUAAAUGUCCGCUCUACUUGAUGGAAGCGAACAUAUGACAGCCUGACUGCCGAA
RNAcentral lists this non-coding RNA (104 nucleotides) under Paenibacillus sp. CF384. RNAcentral describes it as "GEMM cis-regulatory element". It matches the Rfam family "c-di-GMP-I riboswitch aptamer". From Rfam's summary of the family: GEMM was predicted in a large-scale screen for bacterial structured RNA regulatory elements. Genes associated with GEMM are involved in a diverse array of functions, including chemotaxis regulation, signal transduction, secretion and chitin. The record is from RNAcentral. Lineage: Bacteria; Bacillati; Bacillota; Bacilli; Caryophanales; Paenibacillaceae.